This 66-nucleotide transfer RNA is filed under the name Octopus vulgaris (common octopus). RNAcentral describes it as "tRNA-Gly". The record is from RNAcentral. RNAcentral also lists the same sequence under 1 other name. Lineage: Eukaryota; Metazoa; Mollusca; Cephalopoda; Octopoda; Octopodidae.
GUUUUAUUAGUAUAAGAAGUAUGAUUGUUUUCCAAACAAUUGGUUUAAAUUUAUUUAAAUGAAAUA